Molecule: ribosomal RNA, 497 nt
Filed under: uncultured bacterium
Lineage: Bacteria
Description: partial 16S ribosomal RNA
Rfam family: Bacterial small subunit ribosomal RNA
Source: RNAcentral
GAUGAACGCUGGCGGCGUGCCUAAUACAUGCAAGUCGAGCGAACAGACGAGGAGCUUGCUCCUCUGACGUUAGCGGCGGACGGGUGAGUAACACGUGGAUAACCUACCUAUAAGACUGGGAUAACUUCGGGAAACCGGAGCUAAUACCGGAUAAUAUAUUGAACCGCAUGGUUCAAUAGUGAAAGACGGUUUUGCUGUCACUUAUAGAUGGAUCCGCGCCGCAUUAGCUAGUUGGUAAGGUAACGGCUUACCAAGGCAACGAUGCGUAGCCGACCUGAGAGGGUGAUCGGCCACACUGGAACUGAGACACGGUUCAGACUCCUACGGGAGGCAGCAGUAGGGAAUCUUCCGCAAUGGGCGAAAGCCUGACGGAGCAACGCCGCGUGAGUGAUGAAGGUCUUCGGAUCGAAAAACUCUGUUAUUAGGGAAGAACAAAUGUGUAAGUAACUAUGCACGUCUUGACGGUACCUAAUCAGAAAGCCACGGCUAACUACGUG